This 254-nucleotide ribosomal RNA is filed under the name uncultured bacterium. RNAcentral's name for it is "partial 16S ribosomal RNA". It matches the Rfam family "Bacterial small subunit ribosomal RNA", at positions 524 to 776 of the family's 1533-position model. The record is from RNAcentral.
UACGGGGGGGGCAAGCGUUGUUCGGAAUCACUGGGCGUAAAGGGUGCGUAGGCGGGUCUUUAAGUCGGGGGUGAAAUCCCGAGGCUCAACCUCGGAACUGCCUUCGAUACUGGCGAUCUUUGAGUCCGGGAGAGGUGAGUGGAACUCCGAGUGUAGAGGUGAAAUUCGUAGAUAUUCGGAAGAACACCAGUGGCGAAGGCGGCUCACUGGCCCGGUACUGACGCUGAGGUGCGAAAGCGUGGGGAGCAAACAGG